GUGAGGAAUAUUGCGCAAUGGAGGCAACUCUGACGCAGCCAUGCCGCGUGCAGGAAGAAGGCGCUACGCGUUGUAAACUGCUUUUAACCGGGAAGAAACCCCAGGACGUGUCCUGGGUUGACGGUACCGGAGGAAUAAGCACCGGCUAACUUCGUGCCAGCAGCCGCGGUAAUACGAAGGGUGCAAGCGUUAUCCGGAUUCAUUGGGUUUAAAGGGUUCGUAGGCGGAGCGUUAAGUCAGUGGUGAAAUCCUGCAGCUUAACUGUAGACUUGCCAUUGAUACUGGCGCUCUUGAGUGCGCUUGAAGUGGGCGGAAUGUGCCGUGUAGCGGUGAAAUGCUUAGAUAUGGCACAGAACACCAAUUGCGAAGGCAGCUCACUAAGGCGAUACUGACGCUGAGGCACGAAAGCGUGGGGAUCGAACAGGAUUAGAAACCCCAGUAGUCC
Molecule: ribosomal RNA, 445 nt
Filed under: uncultured bacterium
Lineage: Bacteria
Description: partial 16S ribosomal RNA
Rfam family: Bacterial small subunit ribosomal RNA
Source: RNAcentral